RNAcentral lists this ribosomal RNA (779 nucleotides) under uncultured organism. Its description in RNAcentral is "bacterial SSU rRNA". It matches the Rfam family "Bacterial small subunit ribosomal RNA", at positions 35 to 830 of the family's 1533-position model. The record is from RNAcentral.
GCUAGCGGCGCGCUUAACGCAUGCAAGUCGAGCGAUGAGGCUCCCUUCGGGGAGUCAUCAGCGGCAGACGGGUGAGUAACACGUAGAUAACCUGCCCUCAAGACGGGGACAACCGGUGGAAACAGCGGCUAAUACCCGAUAUGCUCACAGGAUCGGGAGAUUGAGUGAGGAAAGGCUUCGGUGCUUGAGGAGGGAUCUGCGGCCCAUCAGCUAGUUGGUGAGGUAACGGCUCACCAAGGCGAAGACGGGUAGGGGGUGUGAGAGCAUGGCCCCCCACAAUGGGACUGAGACACGGCCCAUACUCCUACGGGAGGCAGCAGCGGGGAAUAUUGCGCAAUGGACGGAAGUCAGACGCAGCGACGCCGCGUGGGUGAGGAAGGCCUUCGGGUUGUAAAGCCCUUUUCAGGGGAGCGAGAAAUGACGGUACCCUUGGAAUAAGCGUCGGCUAACUACGUGCCAGCAGCCGCGGUAAGACGUAGGACGCAAGCGUUAUCCGGAUUUACUGGGCGUAAAGCGCCUGUAGGCGGUCAAGUAAGUCGGAUGUGAAAGCCCCGUGCUCAACGCGGGGAAGCCAUUCGAUACUGCGUGACUAGAGAACGGCAGAGGGAAACGGAAUUUCUGGUGUAGCGGUAAAAUGCGCAGAGAUCAGAAAGAACACCGAUGGCGAAGGCAGUUUCCUAGGCCGCAUCUGACGCUGAGAGGCGAAAGCUAGGGGAGCAAACAGGAUUAGAGACCCUGGUAGUCCUAGCUGUAAACGAUGGAUGCUAGGUGUGGGGCGG